UCUACACUCCAGAUUUUAACGUGAUCUCUACAAUACCCCUAACUACCGUGUCUACUGCAGCAACUCUGUUAGAUCAGCUUAGCUCACCCCCGGCCUAUCACUAACAGACAAUCAAGAAUUUCAAGCUCGUCUCAACUUAAAACAAAUCAGAACAAGCUUGAUGUCCACUCAUAUGAACCGCUGUGGAGCCCUUGCUACCAGCCCCAAUCACAUUGACCCAUGGCCCCGACGACUAGAAUGCGGCAGCUCCGGACGUCAGAUCAGGGGCCCGUUUCAUAAAGAAUAUCAACAAGUAUCAUUGCCAUUAUGGCAACGACCGUGAUGACAAGACUCAACAGCCAAUCGUAAUAAAGAUUUCCAUGGUAGCUGUAGUUACAAAAAUGGCAAUGAUGAGAUAGUUGUAAGUCUUUAUGAAACAGACCCCGAUCGUCGGCUCAACUCACCUGCAAAGCUCGGACGUUUAGCAACCAGACCGAUCGGAACCAAUCCAGCAAGCAGAGACUGAGAUUUCUAUCCAUGAGAGCAAAACCGUAAAGGGUUCAUCUGGCAGAAGUGGACUAACAGGAAGCAAUGAAUGUGGAGUUAGAUUACAAAGAAGUCUUUGUAAUGAUGGAGGAUAAACUCACCAAACUCGGGUCAGACAUCAAGAUAAUGCCCAGAAACAAGACACCAGAA
Molecule: long non-coding RNA, 675 nt
Organism: Lytechinus pictus (painted urchin)
Lineage: Eukaryota; Metazoa; Echinodermata; Echinoidea; Temnopleuroida; Toxopneustidae
Exons: 3
Source: RefSeq, a predicted model, not a curated record